AUCCCUACUCAGCCUUUGGCUAAGAUCAAGUGUAGUAUCUUUUAUUAUCAUUUUAAUAGCUGAUAUGUCCUCUAUCAAAGGAUAAUAUAUUCAUAAUAGUCUUUAAACGAUAUAAAUCAAGCACUGUUGAAAUUUAUAUGGAGUAAUAUCACCCUCUCCCCCAAACACAUA
Molecule: small nuclear RNA, 171 nt
Filed under: Sorex araneus (European shrew)
Lineage: Eukaryota; Metazoa; Chordata; Mammalia; Eulipotyphla; Soricidae
Description: U2 spliceosomal RNA (ENSSARG00000018197.1)
Rfam family: U2 spliceosomal RNA
About the family: U2 is a small nuclear RNA (snRNA) component of the spliceosome (involved in pre-mRNA splicing). Complementary binding between U2 snRNA (in an area lying towards the 5' end but 3' to hairpin I) and the branchpoint sequence (BPS) of the intron results the bulging out of an unpaired adenosine, on the BPS, which initiates a nucleophilic attack at the intronic 5' splice site, thus starting the first of two transesterification reactions that mediate splicing.
Source: RNAcentral